ACCCCGGCCCUUUUAAGGGCCAAACAAAUCCUCCCAAAAGAACUUAU
Branchiostoma floridae (Florida lancelet) is the source of this 47-nucleotide non-coding RNA. Lineage: Eukaryota; Metazoa; Chordata; Leptocardii; Amphioxiformes; Branchiostomatidae. The record is from Rfam.